GGUUCUGGUCUAUUUUUUUACGAAAAGUGAAGUUAGAAAAUCCAUUUUUUAAUAUAUUUUAUUAAUAAAGUGCUAUUAUUUGUCUACAUUUAAAAAAAUAAUAAUUGUAAUAAUAUGCAUUUAUAAUCUAACGAAUUAAUGUGAAUUGCAAUACUAUAUUCGCUUGUGUUAAGUUGUUGAAAGUUUUUUUGGUAUUAAGAUUGCUCCAUUUUUUGAGACUCCGCUGGAAAAACAAUAAAAAAUAUUGGCAUAGUAUUAUUAACAAAAAUGUUUUGUUGUGCUGGUAAAAAAAAGAAGAAAGCUUGACAUAAAUGAAAAUAAAUACAAUCAUUUUAAAAAUGAUAUUAAAAAAUAAAUUAUAUUCAAUGCUGAUUUAAAAUAAAAAAUAUUGUUAUUAUUGGAUUUGUGUAUUUGCAUAUGUUGUGCGUAUUUCCAAAUUGUAUCUAGUUGGCUAAACUACUUCAAAAAGAUAAUAACCUUAAAUAAUGGCAGCUGCUGCUGUAGCGGGUGCUGCUGUUUCAGCAAACGAAAUUGAUGAAUUCAUCAAUGGUGCACUUGUUUCGUGGUUGGAAUCCUGCCUCUCUCGGCCAGAAAUUCUUACGGGUUAUUCUUCUCUCCUUGAUGGCCUAAUCAUUCACAGUGUAUGGCUUCAGAUCGACCCGGAACCACAAAAUAAUCCAAGCGAAAUAAAUGAUAACAACGACGUAGCUCUAUGCAUUGCUAGAGCGAAAAAUUUUGAAUGUAUAGUACGAAAUUUAAAAUCAUUAUUUGAAGAUGAAUUUGGACAGACCAUUUUGGUGCUACCAGAUUGUUAUAUACUCGGUUAUCAUCCCGAAACUAAACAGGGUUUGGAACAAAUGAAAAUAUUAUUAACACUACUACUAGGUGCUGCAGUGCAGUGUCCAAAUAAAGAACUUUUUAUUGGUAGAAUAAAAGAAUUGGAUGUGGAAACGCAACAUGCGAUUGUUGAGUUAAUAAAACAGGUCACCGAUAAUCAUAGCUUAGUUCUGACGGAAGAAUCUUUGGAUUUGCUUACGCCUCAGGCCAUGUAUAAUCACAUUUUAAGAUUAACCAAAGAACGUGAUAGCAUGUAUUUAAAGUGGAUUUCAUCGGUGUGUACGGAGCGCGAUAUAUUGAGCACUUCAGGCUGUGGUGACAAUUCUUCCAAUUUGUCAUUAUCGGCUUCGAGUGGACUGACAGCUACACCGAUUUCGUCCACAUCAAAUACAGAAAAUAAUCAUAUGGCAGUUGAAUUGGCAGAUUUAAAAUCAAAACUAAGAAAAUUGCGUCAAGAGCUUGAGGAGAAGUCAGAAGGCCAGUUGGAACUACGCGAAGAACUGGAACACAAAAAUGCUCAGUAUGAAAAACUUCGUUUAGAAAGCCAGGAGUGGUAUUCUGAAGCAAAGCGUGCUUCAGCAUACCGCGAUGAGUUGGAUGUUUUAAGAGAACGCGCCGAAAGAGCAGAUCGUUUAGAAAUAGAACUACAAAAAUUCAAAGAGAAACUUACAGAUUCCGAGUUCUAUAAGACAAGGGUUGAAGAACUUCGCGAAGAUAAUCGAAUGCUUUUAGAGUCAAAGGAAAUGCUAGAAGAACAAUUGCAACGAUGGCGCAAAAGAUCGGAACAUGUUAUGACUUUGGAGUCAGAAAUCAUUAAAUAUAAACAAAAGCUGAAUGAUAUGGCACUAGAAAGAGACUCUGAUCGUUCUAGAUUAGAGGAAUUAAUAGAAGAGAAUACCCAACUACAAUUGGUUGCCAAGAAUCUUAAUAGUACUUUAGACAUGGACAAGUCAUUUUCUGAUAAUGACGAAGAGUGUAAUUCGGGUGACAAUAGUUUAUCUGAACAAUUGACAAAUAAUGCUCAGACACGUGCAUUAAAAUUAGAGCUAGAAAAUCGGCGGCUCACGGCUGCACUAGAUCAACUUAAAGAAUCUUCUUUCCACGAAUCCACCAAUAAAAUGUUAGAAUUGGAGAAAGAAAAGAAGAAAUUAAGUUUAAAAAUUGAACAGAUGCAAGACAAUAUUCAACGUCUAUCUCAACAAAACAUUGAACUAGAAAAUGUAUUCAAAGAUGCGCUAGAGGAAAAUAAGAAAAUGCAAAUAACUUUAGAUCAGCGUCAAAAGGCCUACGAUAAACAAAGUCAAGAACGUGAGGUAGAGCGCACGAAAAUAUCUGAUUUAGAAAAACAUGUAGAAACACUGAAUAAGGAAAAACAACGUAUUCAGACACUUAACGAAAGUGUGCAACGCCGUGCCGAUGACUUAGAACGUAUGGUUGAUUCGCGCUCAAAAGAGAUUGAACAGUACAUAGAGAAAGUGAAAACUUUUGAAAAUACUAAAGAAACUGUUUAUGAGCUGCAAGCUAAACUUAAUACAUUCGAACGGGAAAAUGCCAGCCUUGCUAAAGAAGUGGCAAAAUUAAAAGAGAACCUCGAAGAGAAAUCAGUGUUGUUGGAUGGUCAGUGUGCAGUAGUUGAAAAUCAAACUAAAGAAAUAUUACGCUUAACAAAAUCUCUAGAAGAAGCUGAACUUACUCAGGUUCGACUUAAUGACUUGGAAGUGCAAAAUCAGGAACUGGUAUCCCAACGAGAUAUUGAUUUACAAACCAUUGCCACUCUACGCAAUGAUUUGGUCACUGGCACUCUGGCCACCAAUAAAGUGAGGCACAAUUUGGAAAAACUUGGCUUAAAUGUCGAUCCCACAGAUGAAAAAACUGAGUUGAAUGUAGAAACAGUUGUAGAAAAAUUGGUACGCAAUCCGGAAACAUUUAAAACCGUGCGUGAAAUUAUGCUCAAUGUUUCUAAGGAACAAUUAGAAAAUGGUAAUGCUAAAUCAGAUAUUUGUGUACUUUGUCAUCGGAAAGAAGUAUUUACCGUUGAAAAGAACAUAGAACUCUCUUCAGCUUCUGAAGUUUUUGAAAUAGCGGAGUUAACAAAACUUUCAGAAGCCAACACACAACUAAGUGCGCUAAAUGUGGCACUGCAAUCAACAUAUGACCAACUACAAGCCGAAAAUGCCCGCUUUAAAGUUGACGUUGCUACAUUAGGUUCCCAGAUAACCUCAUUAAAUACGCAACACGUUGCAUUACAAUUGGCCAAUUCUCAAUUGGCUGCUGACAAAGAUGUACUUUUGAAAGAAAAUGAACAGCUCAAAAAAGAGCAUAAAAACCUUCUACAGGAUCAAGUUACUUUGCAAUGUUUACAUGAGCAGCUAUCAUCGGAAUACGAAUCUCUUAACAAGGGCAAAGAACAACUCAAAGGAGUAGUACGGGACUUGCGUAAUGAGUCACGCGAACUUCGAGAACAUAUUGUUGUCUUAGAAACCCAAAUUGAUGAUUUGAAGCGCCAAAAUACAUCGAUGAAAUCUUGUUCCGAAGAUCUUGCCAUUCUUCGUACUGAACAUUCAAAGCUGACGGAUGAUUUUCGUAACUUGUUCGCAACCAGCGAACGUUUUAAGAAUGAAUACAAAAAUAUUCAAGAACAAUACAAAAUGAUACGUAUGGAAAAUGGUAAACUAAAACUACAAAACAACGAACUCACUGGUGAAUUGGGCAGUCGAAACGAUCAACUAAAAAUGCUAGAAAUACAGUAUGCGAAAUCAACACAGCGCUGUGAGAUGUUGAUGCAACAAAAUGGAGAUUUAGACACAGAACGAAAAACUUUAAUGGAAAAUGUUUCUCAUCUACUAAAGCAAUACCAUGAAUUAUUAACCCUAUCGCUAGAAGAUAAAAAACAUUUCCACGAAGAAGAGAAAAGUUACACAGAAUGUGUACAUAACUUAAAUCGCCAAAAAGAAAAGUUAGAGGAAAAGAUUAUGGAACUCUUUAAAAAAUCAGAAGCUGUUGUACCAAAAAAAAACCAUUUGCAAGUAAUUUGGUAAGACGUGUAAAAAAAGCCAGUUCAGAUUUGAUGAAUAAAGUUCCAAGUCGUAAUCGUCGUUCUUGGAUUGAUGACUCCCGAUUAACUCAAUCACAGUUUAUGAUUGGUUCCGAAUCAGGUGGCAAUGAUUCUGAUAAUAGUACCGAAGAACCACUAUCGAUUAACUCGGAUACUCAUUUGUUGCAGCGCAAUA
RNAcentral lists this unclassified non-coding RNA (4067 nucleotides) under Lucilia cuprina (Australian sheep blowfly). RNAcentral's name for it is "girdin, transcript variant X5". Lineage: Eukaryota; Metazoa; Arthropoda; Insecta; Diptera; Calliphoridae. The record is from RNAcentral.